This 254-nucleotide ribosomal RNA is filed under the name uncultured bacterium. RNAcentral's name for it is "partial 16S ribosomal RNA". It matches the Rfam family "Bacterial small subunit ribosomal RNA", at positions 524 to 776 of the family's 1533-position model. The record is from RNAcentral.
UACGUAGGGUGCGAGCGUUGUCCGGAAUUAUUGGGCGUAAAGAGCUCGUAGGCGGUCAGUCGCGUCGGUCGUGAAAACCUGCAGCUUAACUGUGGGCUUGCGGUCGAUACGGGCAUGACUGGAGUUCGGCAGGGGAGACUGGAAUUCCUGGUGUGGCGGUGAAAUGCGCAGAUAUCAGGAGGAACACCGGUGGCGAAGGCGGGUCUCUGGGCCGAUACUGACGCUGAGGAGCGAAAGCGUGGGGAGCGAACAGG